RNAcentral lists this ribosomal RNA (451 nucleotides) under uncultured bacterium. RNAcentral describes it as "bacterial SSU rRNA". It matches the Rfam family "Bacterial small subunit ribosomal RNA", at positions 354 to 796 of the family's 1533-position model. The record is from RNAcentral.
GUCGAGGAUCUUCUGCAAUGGGCGCAAGCCUGACAGAGCGACGCUGCGUGGAGGAUGAAGGCCUUCGGGUUGUAAACUCCUGUCAUUUGGGAACAAUGCUGGCGGGGUGAAUAUCCUCGCCAGGUGAUGGUACCAGAAGAGGAAGCCACGGCUAACUCUGUGCCAGCAGCCGCGGUAAUACAGAGGUGGCGAGCGUUGUUCGGAUUUACUGGGCGUAAAGGGUGCGUAGGUGGUUCCGUAUGUCGGUUGUGAAAGCCCAUGGCCUAACCAUGGAACUGCUGCCGAAACUACGGUACUUGAGUGCAGGAGGGGAGAGUGGAAUUCUUGGUGUAGCGGUGAAAUGCGUUGAUAUCAAGAAGAACACCGGCGGCGUAGGCGGCUCUCUGGAAUGCAACUGACACUGAGGCACGAAAGCCGGGGGAGCAAACAGGAUUAGAAACCCGAGUAGUCC